This is a non-coding RNA of Rattus norvegicus (Norway rat), 68 nucleotides long. NCBI's taxonomy places the organism in Eukaryota, Metazoa, Chordata, Mammalia, Rodentia, Muridae. The record is from Rfam.
GGGGAUUUAGCUCAGUGGUAGAGCACUUGCCUAGCAAGCGCAAGGCCCUGGGUUCGGUCCCAGCUCCA